RNAcentral lists this long non-coding RNA (821 nucleotides) under Mus musculus (house mouse). RNAcentral's name for it is "predicted gene, 57095". Lineage: Eukaryota; Metazoa; Chordata; Mammalia; Rodentia; Muridae. The record is from RNAcentral.
GCGGGUGCGCGCCGAGCGGGUGUUCCCGCCUUUGUCCUUUGCUCUGGUAGACUUUCUGUUUUGGGGUGGUUUUCGGUAAACGUCCCUGUGGGAAGUUAGUGGAUCCAUGACCUUGGGCCCAUUUUCCUUUCUCUCGGAUCUUUGAGUCUCUUUUAUCUUCCUUGUACUUUCAGGGUUGUCUCUACAGUGUCGAUACUAGUUGUCCCUCAGUGCUGCCAGAGCUUUCCAAAGCCUGUUCCUCUGCUCAAUUGUCUGUUGUCCCCUCAAGUCUCUUGACUGAGAGUCCUGACCUGCUACACCACCCUUUACUGCAGCGUGGCUCAGUUCCAGGUCAAACACGGUUGUGUACACUCCAAGAAUCAUGUGUGAAAACCAUUGGGAAGCUAGAAGGAGAAAAAGACUGCAUAGCAGCUACAUUUGAACAAGGGUCUAAGAUACUGGCACCCAACACUUGUCAUACCACUGGCCAACCUUGUUGCAAGGGAGACAAGCAAGGACACUGGUUAUAGCCCACUCUGUGCACACCUAAAGGCUUCAGAUUUUAACAGAAUGGGUGUUUGGGGAAACGAAGGCUCUGUCUAAGCGUUCGAGCUCUAACUUGGCUUAUCUGGUGUGAGUCCUGCUGUUUGCCUUCCCUUUCUGAGUAGAUACAAAGACCAAGCCUCAUACCCAAGAUACAAUGCAGUUCCUUUCACUGUUCUUCUUGGACUGUUUCCCUCCUUUGCUCCUGCCAUCUUGUAAUUGAAACAGGGCCUCCCUUACUAUGGUUGCUUGCUCUAACCCCCAAUGUUGUGACUCCCCUAAAUCCUACCUUUUAUUCC